UACGAAGGGGGCUAGCGUUGCUCGGAAUCACUGGGCGUAAAGCGCACGUAGGCGGACUCUUAAGUCGGUGGUGAAAUCCUGGAGCUCAACUCCAGAACUGCCUUCGAUACUGGGAGUCUCGAGUCCGGGAGAGGUGAGUGGAACUGCGAGUGUAGAGGUGAAAUUCGUAGAUAUUCGCAGGAACACCAGUGGCGAAGGCGGCUUCCUGGACUAAUACUGACGCUGAGGUGCGAAAGCGUGGGGAGCAAACAGG
RNAcentral lists this ribosomal RNA (253 nucleotides) under uncultured bacterium. Its description in RNAcentral is "partial 16S ribosomal RNA". It matches the Rfam family "Bacterial small subunit ribosomal RNA", at positions 524 to 776 of the family's 1533-position model. The record is from RNAcentral.